CGAGCACGGGCGAACGACUGCAACGCUAUGAGCCCGCCUUUGCACGGCGGAGGCCAGGGGUUCGAGUCCCCUCUGCUCGA
RNAcentral lists this transfer RNA (80 nucleotides) under uncultured Chloroflexia bacterium. RNAcentral describes it as "tRNA-Pseudo-TGC". Lineage: Bacteria; Bacillati; Chloroflexota; Chloroflexia. The record is from RNAcentral.